UACGGGAGGCAGCAGUGGGGAAUAUUGCACAAUGGGCGAAAGCCUGAUGCAGCUAUGCCGCGUGUAUGAAGAAGGCCUUAGGGUUGUAAAGUACUUUCAUCGGGGAGGAAAAAACAAAACUAAUAAUUUUAUUUCUUGACGUUACCCGAAAAAGAAGCACCGGCUAACUCCGUGCCAGCAGCCGCGGUAAUACGGAGGGUGCUAGCGUUAAUCAGAAUUACUGGGCGUAAAGAGCACGUAGGUGGUUUUUUUAAGUCAGAUGUGAAAUCCCUGGGCUUAACCUGGAACUGCAUUUUGAAACUGAAAUACUAGAGUAUCGUAGAGGGAGGUAGAAUUCUAGGUGUAGCGGUGAAAUGCGUAGAUAUCUGGAGGAAUACCUGUGGCGAAAGCGGCCUCCUAAACGAAUACUGACACUGAGGGUGCGAAAGCGUGGGGAGCGAAACAGGGAUUAGGAU
This 455-nucleotide ribosomal RNA is filed under the name uncultured bacterium. RNAcentral describes it as "bacterial SSU rRNA". It matches the Rfam family "Bacterial small subunit ribosomal RNA", at positions 340 to 784 of the family's 1533-position model. The record is from RNAcentral.